CAGUUCUUAAAUAUUUUUAAAUCUCUCUCUCUCUCUCAAAAUAAGUCACUCAGCCUCUGAAGAAGCUUCGGGUUCAGACUCAGGCAGUCAGUCGGAAAGUGAGCAGGGAAGUGAUCCGGGAAGUGGACAUGGCAGUGAGUCGAACAGCAGCUCUGAAUCUUCUGAGAGUCAGUCGGAAUCUGAGAGCGAAUCAGCAGGUUCCAAAUCCCAGCCAGUCCUCCCAGAAGCCAAAGAGAAGCCAGCCUCUAAGAAGGAACGGAUAGCUGAUGUGAAGAAGAUGUGGGAAGAAUAUCCUGAUGUUUAUGGGGUCAGGCGGUCAAACCGAAGCAGACAAGAACCAUCGCGAUUUAAUAUUAAGGAAGAGGCAAGUAGCGGGUCUGAGAGUGGGAGCCCAAAAAGAAGAGGCCAGAGGCAGCUGAAAAAACAAGAAAAAUGGAAACAGGAACCCUCAGAAGAUGAACAGGAACAAGGCACCAGUGCAGAGAGUGAGCCAGAACAAAAAAAAGUAAAAGCCAGAAGACCUGUCCCCAGAAGAACAGUGCCCAAACCUCGUGUUAAAAAGCAGCCGAAGACUCAGCGUGGAAAGAGAAAAAAGCAAGAUUCUUCUGAUGAGGAUGAUGAUGAUGACGAAGCUCCCAAAAGGCAGACUCGUCGAAGAGCGGCUAAAAAUGUUAGUUACAAAGAAGAUGAUGACUUUGAGACUGACUCAGAUGAUCUCAUUGAAAUGACUGGAGAAGGAGUUGAUGAACAGCAAGAUAAUAGUGAAACUAUUGAAAAGGUCUUAGAUUCAAGACUGGGAAAGAAAGGAGCCACUGGAGCAUCUACUACUGUAUAUGCGAUUGAAGCUAAUGGCGACCCUAGUGGUGACUUUGACACUGAAAAGGAUGAAGGUGAAAUCCAGUACCUCAUCAAGUGGAAGGGUUGGUCUUACAUCCACAGCACAUGGGAGAGUGAAGAAUCCUUACAGCAACAGAAAGUGAAGGGCCUAAAAAAACUAGAGAACUUCAAGAAAAAAGAGGACGAAAUCAAACAAUGGUUAGGGAAAGUUUCUCCUGAAGAUGUAGAAUAUUUCAAUUGCCAACAGGAGCUGGCUUCAGAGUUGAAUAAACAGUAUCAGAUAGUAGAAAGAGUAAUAGCUGUGAAGACAAGUAAAUCUACAUUGGGUCAAACAGAUUUUCCAGCUCAUAGUCGGAAGCCGGCACCCUCAAAUGAGCCCGAAUAUCUAUGUAAAUGGAUGGGACUUCCCUAUUCAGAGUGUAGCUGGGAAGAUGAAGCCCUCAUUGGAAAGAAAUUCCAGAAUUGCAUUGACAGCUUCCACAGUAGGAACAACUCAAAAACCAUCCCAACAAGAGAAUGCAAGGCCCUGAAGCAGAGACCACGAUUUGUAGCUUUAAAGAAACAACCUGCAUAUUUAGGAGGGGAGAAUCUGGAACUUCGAGAUUAUCAGCUAGAAGGUCUAAACUGGCUAGCUCAUUCCUGGUGCAAAAAUAAUAGUGUAAUCCUUGCUGAUGAAAUGGGCCUAGGAAAGACCAUCCAGACCAUAUCAUUCCUCUCCUACCUGUUCCACCAACACCAGCUGUAUGGCCCCUUUCUUAUAGUCGUCCCUUUAUCCACCCUCACCUCAUGGCAGAGAGAGUUUGAAAUCUGGGCACCAGAGAUUAACGUAGUGGUUUACAUAGGUGACCUGAUGAGCAGAAAUACGGUGUGUAAACAAAAAGAGCUGGGAUAGAAUCUGUGUUAUAAAUGUAAUUUAGAAAUUGACUUAAAGCCUUUAGUAGAUCAUCAGUAAAAUUUUUGGUUAUUAUUCUGAUACUGUGCUGUGUUCUCAAUAUUAGGAGGUUUAUCUAUCACAAAAGUGCAACUCAGAUGUUCUUUAACAAAUAUGCUUACUAGUUAAAAAGCAACAGCAGUAUGUGAGUGGGAAUCUCUUUUAGCUGGGUUGCAAUAUUAAAUUUUUCUUCUCUCUGCCCUUUUUACUUCUAAGAUUGCUUUAUAUGAGAUAAUAUGGAGUUAAUACUUUGUGUAAUAUUAAUAUUAUUUUUGCUUUCUCAAUAGACAUAUUACUGAAAAUAAUCAUUCUUCGAAUUUCUUAAUUUCUUAAACAGUGAGGUUGCAUAACUUAUAAAAAAGGAAUAAAAGUAAAGGAAAACAAGCUAUUUUAGGACUGUAGAAAUAAGAAUUAUCCUAAACUGUUACCAAACUUUAUUUGGGCAUCAUGAAUUUAGAACACAGUGACUUAAGUUUAUCUUUGUUUAGCAGAUCUUUUCUUUAUAGUAACUUUUUUUUAAAGCACCUACUGUGUGCUAGAUGUUGCGCUGGGUGCUUUACGUGUAAUACCUGUAGUCUUCAUGAUAGUCUUCAAAGUUGAUGGCAUUCUUUCCUGCUGCUGAUGAAGAAUUGACUCAGAGAGUCUUAACACGCGACCCUAGCAAGCAAGAAUGUGGCAGAGCUCAGAUUCGGACACAGAUACGGGAAUAUGAAUGGAUUCAUUCCCAAACCAAAAGAUUGAAGUUCAACGCACUUAUAACAACAUAUGAGAUCCUCUUGAAAGAUAAGACUGUGCUGGGCAGUAUUAACUGGGCCUUUCUGGGAGUGGAUGAAGCCCAUCGGUUGAAGAAUGAUGACUCUUUAUUGUAUAAAACUCUGAUUGAUUUCAAGUCCAACCAUAGGCUCCUGAUUACGGGGACCCCUCUUCAGAAUUCCCUCAAAGAGCUCUGGUCCUUGCUGCACUUUAUUAUGCCGGAGAAGUUUGAAUUUUGGGAAGAUUUUGAAGAAGACCAUGGGAAAGGGAGAGAGAAUGGCUACCAGAGUCUUCAUAAGGUGCUAGAGCCUUUCCUUCUCCGGAGAGUCAAAAAAGAUGUGGAGAAAUCCCUUCCUGCUAAAGUGGAACAGAUUCUCAGGGUGGAGAUGUCAGCCCUUCAGAAACAGUAUUACAAGUGGAUUCUGACCAGGAAUUACAAGGCUCUUGCCAAAGGAACAAGAGGCAGCACAUCUGGUUUUCUUAAUAUUGUGAUGGAACUGAAAAAAUGUUGCAACCACUGCUAUCUGAUUAAACCCCCUGAAGAAAAUGAAAGGGAAAAUGGACAGGAGAUUCUUCUGUCCCUCAUAAGGAGCAGUGGGAAGUUGAUUUUAUUAGACAAACUGUUGACAAGACUUCGAGAAAGGGGGAAUCGAGUGCUUAUCUUCUCUCAGAUGGUGAGAAUGUUGGAUAUCCUGGCUGAAUACCUAACUAUUAAACACUAUCCUUUCCAGCGUCUGGAUGGUUCCAUCAAGGGAGAAAUCCGAAAACAGGCACUGGACCACUUCAAUGCAGAUGGGUCUGAGGACUUCUGUUUCCUGCUCUCGACAAGGGCUGGUGGCCUGGGAAUCAAUUUGGCUUCAGCGGACACAGUCGUCAUCUUUGACUCUGACUGGAACCCCCAGAAUGACUUGCAGGCACAAGCCCGAGCGCAUAGAAUUGGUCAGAAGAAGCAGGUAAAUAUUUACCGCUUAGUUACAAAGGGGACUGUGGAGGAGGAGAUCAUAGAACGGGCCAAAAAGAAGAUGGUAUUAGAUCAUCUGGUGAUUCAGCGCAUGGACACCACUGGCCGGACGAUCCUGGAAAACAACUCGGGAAGGUCCAACUCAAAUCCUUUUAAUAAAGAAGAGCUGACAGCUAUUUUGAAAUUUGGAGCAGAGGAUCUCUUCAAAGAACUGGAAGGGGAGGAAUCAGAACCUCAGGAAAUGGAUAUAGAUGAAAUUUUGCGGUUGGCUGAAACGAGAGAGAAUGAAGUGUCAACAAGUGCAACAGAUGAACUUCUAUCACAGUUUAAGGUUGCCAACUUUGCAACAAUGGAAGAUGAAGAAGAGCUGGAAGAGCGUCCUCACAAGGACUGGGAUGAGAUCAUUCCAGAGGAACAAAGGAAAAAAGUAGAGGAGGAAGAGCGGCAGAAGGAGCUAGAAGAAAUUUAUAUGCUGCCUCGAAUUCGGAGUUCCACUAAAAAGGCUCAGACAAAUGACAGUGACUCUGACACUGAGUCUAAGAGGCAGGCCCAGAGAUCCUCUGCUUCUGAGAGUGAAACGGAAGACUCUGAUGAUGACAAGAAGCCAAAGCGCAGAGGGCGUCCGAGGAGUGUGCGGAAGGACCUCGUGGAGGGAUUUACUGAUGCAGAGAUCCGAAGGUUCAUCAAGGCUUAUAAGAAGUUUGGUCUCCCUCUUGAACGGCUGGAGUGCAUAGCACGUGAUGCUGAGCUGGUAGAUAAGUCGGUGGCAGAUCUGAAGCGCCUGGGUGAACUGAUCCACAACAGCUGUGUGUCAGCAAUGCAGGAAUACGAAGAGCAGCUGAAAGAAAAUGCCAGCGAGGGAAAAGGACCAGGGAAAAGGAGAGGUCCAACAAUCAAGAUAUCCGGAGUUCAGGUUAAUGUGAAAUCCAUUAUCCAACAUGAAGAGGAGUUUGAGAUGCUGCAUAAAUCUAUC
Molecule: small RNA, 4455 nt
Filed under: Pan troglodytes (chimpanzee)
Lineage: Eukaryota; Metazoa; Chordata; Mammalia; Primates; Hominidae
Description: retained intron
Source: RNAcentral